Non-coding RNA from Streptomyces sp. WM6378, 218 nucleotides. NCBI's taxonomy places the organism in Bacteria, Bacillati, Actinomycetota, Actinomycetes, Kitasatosporales, Streptomycetaceae. The record is from Rfam.
CGAUAGCGGAUAGUACCGUGAGGGAAUGGUGAAAAGUACCGCGGGAGCGGAGUGAAAUAGUACCUGAAACCGUGUGCCUACAAGCCGUGGGAGCGUCGCGCAUCGAGCUUGCUCGGUGCGUCGUGACUGCGUGCCUUUUGAAGAAUGAGCCUGCGAGUUAGCGGUGUGUAGCGAGGUUAACCCGUGUGGGGAAGCCGUAGCGAAAGCGAGUCCGAACA